Gorilla gorilla gorilla (western lowland gorilla) is the source of this 527-nucleotide long non-coding RNA. RefSeq lists it as uncharacterized. The transcript is spliced from 3 exons. The record is from RefSeq and is a predicted model, not a curated record. Lineage: Eukaryota; Metazoa; Chordata; Mammalia; Primates; Hominidae.
GGUGCUGGUACUGUUGGCCCAAGAACACAUUUUGAGAAGACUGGCCUAGAGGAACCAAUAAUGAGAGAAGUAACAAGAGAGGCAGAGGGAAAUGAUUCUAACAGAAGUUCUAGCCACAUGGAAGGAAGCAUUAGCAGUGAGGAAUAACUGUUCUCUCCCUAAACAUACCACCCAAGUGAACUAAUACUAAAUUAGCAUGAAGAGCAUAUGCCUGUGAUCUCAGCUAUUCGGGAUGCAGAGGCAGGAGGAUCACAUGAGCUCAGAAGCUCAAGCCCAGCCUGGGCAACGUAGAAAGACACAGACUAAAAAAGAAAAAAAGAAAUAAAGGGAAGAAAAAAAAGGAAAAAAAUUAGCAUGAACAAUUCAAGGGAGACAAGACAACUGAGCCACCUUCCUAGCCAAGAAAAACCCCAGCUUGCAAUUUACUGAAUAGAAGUGUGCCACUUGACAGAGUAGUUUUAAUGACACUGAACCUUUUGUGAGUCUUGCACUUCUCUUGGCUGAAAUCUUCAAACUGGCUCAAAGAA